RNAcentral lists this ribosomal RNA (468 nucleotides) under uncultured bacterium. RNAcentral describes it as "partial 16S ribosomal RNA". It matches the Rfam family "Bacterial small subunit ribosomal RNA", at positions 28 to 507 of the family's 1533-position model. The record is from RNAcentral.
GACGAACGCUGGCGGCGUGCUUAACACAUGCAAGUCGAACGGAAAGGCCCUGCUUUUGUGGGGUGCUCGAGUGGCGAACGGGUGAGUAACACGUGAGUAACCUGCCCUUGACUUUGGGAUAACUUCAGGAAACUGGGGCUAAUACCGGAUAGGAGCUCCUGCUGCAUGGUGGGGGUUGGAAAGUUUCGGCGGUUGGGGAUGGACUCGCGGCUUAUCAGCUUGUUGGUGGGGUAGUGGCUUACCAAGGCUUUGACGGGUAGCCGGCCUGAGAGGGGGACAGGCAACAUUGGAAUGGAGACAGGACACAGACUCACACGGGAGGCAGGAGUGGGAAAUAGGGCAAAAGGGGCGGAGGCGUGAUGCAGCAACGCCGCGCGAGGGAUAACGGCCGUGGGUGUGAAGGCCGUUUGCGGAUGAAACGAAGCGGGAGGGAAGGUAAGGGGUAAAGAGGCACGGGCUAACUGCGCG